Molecule: transfer RNA, 90 nt
Filed under: Candidatus Liptonbacteria bacterium
Lineage: Bacteria; Candidatus Liptoniibacteriota
Description: tRNA-Leu
Rfam family: tRNA
About the family: Transfer RNA (tRNA) molecules are approximately 80 nucleotides in length. Their secondary structure includes four short double-helical elements and three loops (D, anti-codon, and T loops). Further hydrogen bonds mediate the characteristic L-shaped molecular structure. tRNAs have two regions of fundamental functional importance: the anti-codon, which is responsible for specific mRNA codon recognition, and the 3' end, to which the tRNAs corresponding amino acid is attached (by aminoacyl-tRNA synthetases). tRNAs cope with the degeneracy of the genetic code in two manners: having more than one tRNA (with a specific anti-codon) for a particular amino acid; and 'wobble' base-pairing, i.e. permitting non-standard base-pairing at the 3rd anti-codon position.
Source: RNAcentral
GUCCGGGUGGCGAAAUAGGUAAACGCGCAACACUUAAAAUGUUGUGGGCUCAAAAGGCUCUUGUCGGUUCGAUUCCGACCCCGGGCACCA